RNAcentral lists this ribosomal RNA (497 nucleotides) under uncultured bacterium. RNAcentral's name for it is "partial 16S ribosomal RNA". It matches the Rfam family "Bacterial small subunit ribosomal RNA", at positions 28 to 507 of the family's 1533-position model. The record is from RNAcentral.
GAUGAACGCUGGCGGCGUGCCUAAUACAUGCAAGUCGAGCGAACAGACGAGGAGCUUGCUCCUCUGACGUUAGCGGCGGACGGGUGAGUAACACGUGGAUAACCUACCUAUAAGACUGGGAUAACUUCGGGAAACCGGAGCUAAUACCGGAUAAUAUAUUGAACCGCAUGGUUCAAUAGUGAAAGACGGUUUUGCUGUCACUUAUAGAUGGAUCCGCGCCGCAUUAGCUAGUUGGUAAGGUAACGGCUUACCAAGGCAACGAUGCGUAGCCGACCUGAGAGGGUGAUCGGCCACACGGGAACUGAGACACGGUCCAGACUCCUACGGGAGGCAGCAGUAGGGAAUCUUCCGCAAUGGGCGAAAGCCUGACGGAGCAACGCCGCGUGAGUGAUGAAGGUCUUCGGAUCGUAAAACUCUGUUAUUAGGGAAGAACAAAUGUGUAAGUAACUAUGCACGUCUUGACGGUACCUAAUCGGAAAGCCACGGCUAACUACGUG